AAAUUGAAGAGUUUGAUCAUGGCUCAGAUUGAACGCUGGCGGCAGGCCUAACACAUGCAAGUCGAGCGGUAGCACAGAGAGCUUGCUCUCGGGUGACGAGCGGCGGACGGGUGAGUAAUGUCUGGGAAACUGCCUGAUGGAGGGGGAUAACUACUGGAAACGGUAGCUAAUACCGCAUAACGUCGCAAGACCAAAGUGGGGGACCUUCGGGCCUCAUGCCAUCAGAUGUGCCCAGAUGGGAUUAGCUAGUAGGUGGGGUAACGGCUCACCUAGGCGACGAUCCCUAGCUGGUCUGAGAGGAUGACCAGCCACACUGGAACUGAGACACGGUCCAGACUCCUACGGGAGGCAGCAGUGGGGAAUAUUGCACAAUGGGCGCAAGCCUGAUGCAGCCAUGCCGCGUGUGUGAAGAAGGCCUUCGGGUUGUAAAGCACUUUCAGCGGGGAGGAAGGCGAUAAGGUUAAUAACCUCAUCGAUUGACGUUACCCGCAGAAGAAGCACCGGCUAACUCCGUGCCAGCAGCCGCGGUAAUACGGAGGGUGCAAGCGUUAAUCGGAAUUACUGGGCGUAAAGCGCACGCAGGCGGUCUGUCAAGUCGGAUGUGAAAUCCCCGGGCUCAACCUGGGAACUGCAUUCGAAACUGGCAGGCUAGAGUCUUGUAGAGGGGGGUAGAAUUCCAGGUGUAGCGGUGAAAUGCGUAGAGAUCUGGAGGAAUACCGGUGGCGAAGGCGGCCCCCUGGACAAAGACUGACGCUCAGGUGCGAAAGCGUGGGGAGCAAACAGGAUUAGAUACCCUGGUAGUCCACGCCGUAAACGAUGUCGAUUUGGAGGUUGUGCCCUUGAGGCGUGGCUUCCGGAGCUAACGCGUUAAAUCGACCGCCUGGGGAGUACGGCCGCAAGGUUAAAACUCAAAUGAAUUGACGGGGGCCCGCACAAGCGGUGGAGCAUGUGGUUUAAUUCGAUGCAACGCGAAGAACCUUACCUGGUCUUGACAUCCACAGAACUUUCCAGAGAUGGAUUGGUGCCUUCGGGAACUGUGAGACAGGUGCUGCAUGGCUGUCGUCAGCUCGUGUUGUGAAAUGUUGGGUUAAGUCCCGCAACGAGCGCAACCCUUAUCCUUUGUUGCCAGCGGUUCGGCCGGGAACUCAAAGGAGACUGCCAGUGAUAAACUGGAGGAAGGUGGGGAUGACGUCAAGUCAUCAUGGCCCUUACGACCAGGGCUACACACGUGCUACAAUGGCAUAUACAAAGAGAAGCGACCUCGCGAGAGCAAGCGGACCUCAUAAAGUAUGUCGUAGUCCGGAUUGGAGUCUGCAACUCGACUCCAUGAAGUCGGAAUCGCUAGUAAUCGUAGAUCAGAAUGCUACGGUGAAUACGUUCCCGGGCCUUGUACACACCGCCCGUCACACCAUGGGAGUGGGUUGCAAAAGAAGUAGGUAGCUUAACCUUCGGGAGGGCGCUUACCACUUUGUGAUUCAUGACUGGGGUGAAGUCGUAACAAGGUAACCGUAGGGGAACCUGCGGUUGGAUCACCUCCUUACCUUAAAGAA
Molecule: ribosomal RNA, 1550 nt
Filed under: Klebsiella pneumoniae
Lineage: Bacteria; Pseudomonadati; Pseudomonadota; Gammaproteobacteria; Enterobacterales; Enterobacteriaceae
Also listed under: 1 other name
Description: bacterial SSU rRNA
Rfam family: Bacterial small subunit ribosomal RNA
Source: RNAcentral